RNAcentral lists this long non-coding RNA (851 nucleotides) under Ananas comosus (pineapple). RNAcentral describes it as "long non-coding RNA (ACOM_LNC040330)". The record is from RNAcentral. Lineage: Eukaryota; Viridiplantae; Streptophyta; Magnoliopsida; Poales; Bromeliaceae.
UUUUUUUUUUGAGAAAAGUUAACAUGCUAAGCAUCGGCUUCGUUUAUUUUUUAAAAAAAUAAACUUAGCUGAAAAUGUAAAUUAAGUAGAAUUCAAACUUGGGAUCUCAAGUAUCAACGAUCAAACGCUUUAUCAUUUGCGUUAGGGACGGUCGGUCUAAAUAGCCCAUAGGUCAAACGCAAUUUUUUUUUUUUUUUUUGAGAGAUAGGUAGCAUGCUACCCGGUUCGUUUAUUUCAUUUAGAAAUAAACUUCGCUGGAAAUGUAAAUCAACUAGGGUUCGAACUUGGGUCUCGAGUACCAACUAUCAAGUCCUUUGCCACUUGCUCUAGGGACGGUCGGUCGCAAUUCUUCAUUGGUGCACCUUAUUAAUGCAAUAGUGAAAAGUCAAUCACUAGAGAAAACCACAACAAGAAAAGGCGCAAUUUUAGCCAACCACUCAUAUUAUUUACUUAAAUACUUAAUUAUUAUACACGCACACAUGCACGUAUACGAAGCAAAAUAUCCCUGCACUACGUACCUUACAAUUACACUUCACAUGCUAGAUUAAGCACGUCCAAAGCAAAAGGAGAUAUAUAGUUCUUUAUCAUAAAGGCAAACAUAAAUAAACACACCACACCUGAUAUUGAUAGAGUACUUCACUUGCUUGAGAGUCCAGUUGCUACGUACGCUUAACAUAUAGUCAGCAACAAUCCAUAGUGAUCACUAGGAGGAUAUGCCUCCGUCCCGAUCAGUUCGAUGUCGAUCAAGCUAAAGUCGCUUAGUUUGCACACGAAUCGAUCCAACCUUUCCUGCAGUGUUCUUCGGUCCUUCAGAUGUUCGUUCGACUUCGUAUCAUACGUAUAUCCGCGGU